GGUCCAGACUCCUACGGGAGGCAGCAGUGAGGAAUAUUGGUCAAUGGGCGAGAGCCUGAACCAGCCAAGUCGCGUGAAGGAUGACGGCCCUACGGGUUGUAAACUUCUUUUGUCGGGGAGCAAUUGGGUCCACGCGUGGGCUUAGCGAGAGUACCUGAAGAAAAAGCAUCGGCUAACUCCGUGCCAGCAGCCGCGGUAAUACGGAGGAUGCGAGCGUUAUCCGGAUUUAUUGGGUUUAAAGGGUGCGUAGGCGGCCUUUUAAGUCAGCGGUGAAAGUCUGUGGCUCAACCAUAGAAUUGCCGUUGAAACUGGGGGGCUUGAGUAUGUUUGAGGCAGGCGGAAUGCGUGGUGUAGCGGUGAAAUGCAUAGAUAUCGCGCAGAACUCCGAUUGCGAAGGCAGCAUGCCGGCUCCACACUGACGCUGAGGCACGAAAGCGUGGGUAUCGAACAGGAUUAGAUACCCGGGUA
This 468-nucleotide ribosomal RNA is filed under the name uncultured bacterium. RNAcentral describes it as "bacterial SSU rRNA". It matches the Rfam family "Bacterial small subunit ribosomal RNA", at positions 328 to 792 of the family's 1533-position model. The record is from RNAcentral.